GCGCUGGUAUAGUGGUUUGAACAUUGGACUAUGACUCUGAAAACCAGGGUUCAAAUCCCUGCUCA
This is a non-coding RNA of Phrynosoma platyrhinos (Desert horned lizard), 65 nucleotides long. NCBI's taxonomy places the organism in Eukaryota, Metazoa, Chordata, Lepidosauria, Squamata, Phrynosomatidae. The record is from the annotation of a GenBank genome assembly.